ACUAAAUACUGAUCAUGAAAUAAGUACGUUGUAAUCAGUAUUCCUUACCUCUUGCAUUCAUUUAGCUGUUGGAGGAGUGCACUGAAAAGCUGAAUCUGAACAUGGCUGCACGAUGAGUGUUCUUGGCAGACGGCACUGAAGCACUAGAACCUAAAGACAUACCCCACGAUGCCGACGUUUAUAUUUCAGCUGGAGAGACCUUUUUAGAUCCAUUCAAAAAAUCAAAGACCAUCUGUCAUUAAUGAAGAAAGUAACUUGGGCAGUGAAUGGCCUGGAUCUUCGUAAUGAUGUCAAGCAAAGAAAAUCAAGAUUGUCAUUGCCUACCGCAUGAAGAAAAUUUUAGAGAAAACCUCAAUCAGAAUUUUAACGUUUAAGAACUGCAUAGGGCAGGAUGGCUAUGACAUUGUUGCAUCGUAGAAUCAAAUUGAAAAGAUGAUUGCACUCUGAAGAUGAAUUUUAGUUCACCAUCAAGAUACUCGUAUAAUGAACGUGGAGAAAAAUUGACGAUACCAUAAGUGUUCCUCUGCUUGACAAAUUCCUGCAAAAUUCCAUCACACCUUUGCGUGGACCUAUUUGGGUCUCUAAGAGAGAAGGUUUCAGCCCCUCAGGAGCAAAGAUGUAUAUCCAAGGAGUUCUGUUGGCCUUGCAUCAGCGAUUAAAGCCUGCAAACUGUUGCAAACAGCGGAGUCCUACAUCUUUGUCCAAUGCAUGUGCCACUCAUAUUUGAUUAAGCCUCACUGACCACAAACCAAUUUGCCUUUUGAGGAUGUGAUGUGCUGAGUGCCUCCUGCAUAAUCAGGUAAAAUCAAAUGGAACAGGGGUUCUUUGGUGAUGACUGUGAGGGAAAGGGAA
RNAcentral lists this long non-coding RNA (852 nucleotides) under Struthio camelus australis. RNAcentral describes it as "lncRNA (ENSSCUG00000002097.1)". Lineage: Eukaryota; Metazoa; Chordata; Aves; Struthioniformes; Struthionidae. The record is from RNAcentral.